AUUUUUCUUUUUGGCUCUGGUGGUAAAAAAUUUGGAUAAUUCUUAGGGCUUGUUUGGUUCAAGAAUGAAAUUAGAACAGAUAAUGGAAUGUGAAUAAAUUGGAAUGGUAAUUGGAUUGGCUCACUCUCCCAAAACGUUUGGUUCAUUUGUGGAUUGAAAAUUUGAAUGAGUUAUUCACAUUUCAUUGUUUGGUUCGUAUAAAUUAAAAAAAUUAUAAGAUAACAUAAUACUAAUUUUACUCUCAAAUAUAAUUUUAUAUUAUUUAAAAUUUAUGAAAAAUAUAAUACUAUUCUCUAAAAAGUUUUCCAAAAAAAAAUAUCAAAUUUAUUUUUAAAAACUUAAUUGAUGUGGGUUAGGGAUAGAGUUUUGAGAGAGGAUAGGUGUUUUUUUUAUUUUUUUUAUUUUUUAUUUUUUAUGAGAGAUGGGUGAAGAGAUCGUAUACAGGACAAGAGGGUGAGAUGGUCGCAUGGGCCUCAGGAACUUAGUGAGAUUCGGGAAUGAAAUCUCAAUCCAAGCUAGGAGAUCGAAAUCAAGUUGAAGGCUGAUGAGCUAUUCCUAUUCCAGUCUGGAAUAGGAAUCCCAAACUGAUUUCUACAAACCAAACAAAAUUAAUCGGAUUUAAUCAAACCGAUUCCCAUUCCAUAUCCAAAAUGGAUGAACCAAACAAGCCCUAAGAGUAGUAGAGAAAGAUGGAUU
RNAcentral lists this long non-coding RNA (696 nucleotides) under Ananas comosus (pineapple). Its description in RNAcentral is "long non-coding RNA (ACOM_LNC032345)". Lineage: Eukaryota; Viridiplantae; Streptophyta; Magnoliopsida; Poales; Bromeliaceae. The record is from RNAcentral.